Non-coding RNA from Aedes aegypti (yellow fever mosquito), 57 nucleotides. NCBI's taxonomy places the organism in Eukaryota, Metazoa, Arthropoda, Insecta, Diptera, Culicidae. The record is from Rfam.
UAGCUUAGUUGGUAAAGCGCUCGUCUAGCAUACAAGAGUAGUGAGUUUGAAUCCCAC